RNAcentral lists this ribosomal RNA (395 nucleotides) under Rhipicephalus haemaphysaloides. RNAcentral describes it as "partial large subunit ribosomal RNA". The record is from RNAcentral. Lineage: Eukaryota; Metazoa; Arthropoda; Arachnida; Ixodida; Ixodidae.
UUUAAAUUGCUGUAGUAUUUUGACUAUACAAAGGUAUCGAACUAAGAUUUUAAUUGAAUGCUAAGAGAAUGGAAUCACAGAAAAUAGCUUUUUUUAAGUUAAAAAUUGAAAUUUUUUUAAUUUGUGCAGAAACAAUUAUUAAUAUUAAGGACAAGAAGACCCUAUGAAUUUAUGAAUUUAUAUUAAUAGUAAUUACUAUAAAAUAAAUUUUGCCUGGGGUGGCAAAAAAAUAUACAAAACUUUUUAUUAAUAAAACGAUCCAUUAUUAAUGAUUAAAUGUUAAAUACUCUAGGGAUAACAGCGUUAUAUUUUUUGAUAGAUCAUAUUGACAAAAAAGUUUGCGACCUCGAUGUUGGAUUAGGAUACUUUUUUAAUGAAGAUAUAAAAAAAGAAGU